GAUGAACGCUGGCGGCGUGCCUAAUACAUGCAAGUCGAGCGAACAGACGAGGAGCUUGCUCCUCUGACGUUAGCGGCGGACGGGUGAGUAACACGUGGAUAACCUACCUAUAAGACUGGGAUAACUUCGGGAAACCGGAGCUAAUACCGGAUAAUAUAUUGAACCGCAUGGUUCAAUAGUGAAAGACGGUUUUGCUGUCACUUAUAGAUGGAUCCGCGCCGCAUUAGCUAGUUGAUAAGGUAACGGCUUACCAAGGCAACGAUGCGUAGCCGACCUGAGAGGGUGAUCGGCCACACUGGAACUGAGACACGGUCCAGACUCCUACGGGAGGCAGCAGUAGGGAAUCUUCCGCAAUGGGCGAAAGCUUGACGGAGCAACGCCGCGUGAGUGAUGAAGGUCUUCGGAUCGUAAAACUCUGUUAUUAGGGAAGAACAAAUGUGUAAGUAACUAUGCACGUCUUGACGGUACCUAAUCGGAAAGCCACGGCUAACUACGUG
This 497-nucleotide ribosomal RNA is filed under the name uncultured bacterium. Its description in RNAcentral is "partial 16S ribosomal RNA". It matches the Rfam family "Bacterial small subunit ribosomal RNA", at positions 28 to 507 of the family's 1533-position model. The record is from RNAcentral.